CUAGUCACUCGUGAAUCAUCGAAUCUUUGAACGCAAUUUGCACCUCGUCGCUUCGGUGACAAGGUAUACUUGUUUGAGUAUCACAAACAACCUCACACUCCCCUUGGGGCAGUGUGGACUUGAGAGUUCUGUUCCUUUGGGGACAGUCUCUUUAAAAUGCAGGUUUUGAAAGUCUCAGCGUGAGAUGACUAUUGGGAUAACAUCCUAACAAUAGCAUUGCUUUGACUUGAUCCUCUUUAGUGAGGAGCAGAGCCACCCGAUGGUGUGUAUGCCGCAAGGUGUAUGCAGUAUCAAUCAUUUUAAUGUUGAUCUCAAAUCAAGUAGGGAUACCCGCUGAACUUAAGCAUAUCAAUAAGCGGAGG
RNAcentral lists this ribosomal RNA (362 nucleotides) under uncultured Agaricales. RNAcentral's name for it is "eukaryotic LSU rRNA". The stretch from base 307 to 362 matches the Rfam family "Eukaryotic large subunit ribosomal RNA", at positions 1 to 56 of the family's 3401-position model. The record is from RNAcentral. Lineage: Eukaryota; Fungi; Basidiomycota; Agaricomycetes; Agaricales.